UAACUAUUUUGCCUUUUUCAACUUUCUCCUCUUUCUUCCCUGAAUUGAUGUUGUUGUUAUUAUCGUGAUGAUGAUUAUGAUCUGGAUUCAAAAAUAUGAACGAUUCCUUUCCGUCGCUGCUGCAUCUUCGAAGAUGCAACAAAUCUAGCAAACGCCACCGUUGCUUCGACGAUGAUCCGGUGGAAUUGCUCUUUUUGCAUCUUGACGGCGAACGGUUAGGCGAAGGCGAUGGUGACGACUUUUGCGGCGUCCAAACACAAUAAGUUUCAGGUAAAAUUCCGUCUAAUUCGUACGCAUCAGUACCCGAAGACGAGGAUGGAGGAUCUCGAUCUUCAAUAAACAUAUUCUCCAAAGGUAAGCGAACUGUGGAUGACUUGUGAUCUUGGCUCUGGUCUUUUGACUCAUUUUCAUACUUCAACAGGAGAUCUCGAUCGAACAGCGGGAAAAUCGGAAAGGCGACCUUAUGAUCUUCGUCGGUUGCUGUACAAAAUUCGGGAUUUGCGCCGACCAAAACGAACUCGAAAUCAACGUCGUCCUCAUCGCUGCUACUGCUGCCGCUGCUAUGGUUGUCGUUUUGGUUCGUGAAAACAGUAACCAUAUUGUUCGCUUCCUCUUUCCCGACUUUAUCUGCGAUAUCAGCUAGUUGAUCAGAGGAGUAGCUAUUGAAACUGGGAGAAAACGACACCGUAGAACCUAGAUCUUGCAUUCGGAACAGCUCUUGAGUUUCCAUAUAGGUAGAAAGAAAGACAAAACGAUAAAAAAGAGAUUGCUCAGUUAGUUAGAGAACCGAAGAAGAAAGGGGAUUGUUGAGGCACGACAAAGGUGUGAAUGAAUAUUUAUACUCACGGAGAGUUGGGUGGAAAAUGAGCUUACGCGUGUGAUUAUCUAAGAAAUAUCAUUAAAAG
Molecule: unclassified non-coding RNA, 905 nt
Filed under: Hevea brasiliensis (rubber tree)
Lineage: Eukaryota; Viridiplantae; Streptophyta; Magnoliopsida; Malpighiales; Euphorbiaceae
Source: RNAcentral